This 90-nucleotide transfer RNA is filed under the name Alphaproteobacteria bacterium. RNAcentral describes it as "tRNA-Ser". It matches the Rfam family "tRNA". From Rfam's summary of the family: Transfer RNA (tRNA) molecules are approximately 80 nucleotides in length. Their secondary structure includes four short double-helical elements and three loops (D, anti-codon, and T loops). Further hydrogen bonds mediate the characteristic L-shaped molecular structure. tRNAs have two regions of fundamental functional importance: the anti-codon, which is responsible for specific mRNA codon recognition, and the 3' end, to which the tRNAs corresponding amino acid is attached (by aminoacyl-tRNA synthetases). tRNAs cope with the degeneracy of the genetic code in two manners: having more than one tRNA (with a specific anti-codon) for a particular amino acid; and 'wobble' base-pairing, i.e. permitting non-standard base-pairing at the 3rd anti-codon position. The record is from RNAcentral. RNAcentral also lists the same sequence under 2 other names. Lineage: Bacteria; Pseudomonadati; Pseudomonadota; Alphaproteobacteria.
GGACAGGUGGCCGAGUGGCUGAAGGCGCACGCUUGGAAAGCGUGUUUAGGCGCAAGUCUAACGAGGGUUCGAAUCCCUCUCUGUCCGCCA